This 480-nucleotide ribosomal RNA is filed under the name uncultured bacterium. RNAcentral describes it as "SSU rRNA". It matches the Rfam family "Bacterial small subunit ribosomal RNA", at positions 26 to 519 of the family's 1533-position model. The record is from RNAcentral.
AGGAUGAACGCUGGCGGCGUGCCUAAUACAUGCAAGUCGAGCGGUAAGGCCACUUCGGUGGUACACGAGCGGCGGACGGCUGAGUAACACGUAGGAACGUACCCCAAACUGAGGCAUAAGCACCAGAAAUGGUGUCUAAUACCGCAUGUGCUCUUCGGAGUAAAGCUACGGCGGUUUGGGAACGGCCUGCGCAUGAUUAGCUUGUUGGUGAGGUAAUGGCUCACCAAGGCGACGAUCAUUAGCUGGUCUGAGAGGAUGAUCAGCCAGACUGGGACUGAGAACGGCCCAGACUCCUACGGGAGGCAGCAGUAGGGAAUUUUCCACAAUGGACGAAAGUCUGAUGGAGCAACGCCGCGUGCAGGAUGAAUGCCUUCGGGUUGUAAACUCCUGUCAUUGGGGAACAAGUCGCUUACGUUAACUGCGUGAGCGUUGAUAGUACCCGAAGAGGAAGAGACGGCUAACUCUGUGCCAGCAGCCGUA